Molecule: ribosomal RNA, 570 nt
Filed under: Hanseniaspora uvarum
Lineage: Eukaryota; Fungi; Ascomycota; Saccharomycetes; Saccharomycodales; Saccharomycodaceae
Description: eukaryotic LSU rRNA
Rfam family: Eukaryotic large subunit ribosomal RNA
Source: RNAcentral
UAAGCGGAGGAAAAGAAACCAACUGGGAUUACCUUAGUAACGGCGAGUGAAGCGGUAAAAGCUCAAAUUUGAAAUCUGGUACUUUCAGUGCCCGAGUUGUAAUUUGUAGAAUUUGUCUUUGAUUAGGUCCUUGUCUAUGUUCCUUGGAACAGGACGUCAUAGAGGGUGAGAAUCCCGUUUGGCGAGGAUACCUUUUCUCUGUAAGACUUUUUCGAAGAGUCGAGUUGUUUGGGAAUGCAGCUCAAAGUGGGUGGUAAAUUCCAUCUAAAGCUAAAUAUUGGCGAGAGACCGAUAGCGAACAAGUACAGUGAUGGAAAGAUGAAAAGAACUUUGAAAAGAGAGUGAAAAAGUACGUGAAAUUGUUGAAAGGGAAGGGCAUUUGAUCAGACAUGGUGUUUUUUGCAUGCACUCGCCUCUCGUGGGCUUGGGCCUCUCAAAAAUUUCACUGGGCCAACAUCAAUUCUGGCAGCAGGAUAAAUCAUUAAGAAUGUAGCUACUCUGUAGUGUUAUAGCUUUUUGGAAUACUGUUAGCCGGGAUUGAGGACUGCGCUCGGCAAGGAUGUGGCAUAA